CCGACGGAUCCGUGUUGCACUCCGUCCGAUAAGCAGUCAGCACCAGGGGAAGCCGGUCGAAUUCCGGCACUGACCCGCAACCGUAGGCCCGGAUCGUCCCGGGUGAGUCGGAAUGCCUGGAGCUGGAUCUCCGUACGA
Molecule: non-coding RNA, 138 nt
Filed under: Streptomyces griseus
Lineage: Bacteria; Bacillati; Actinomycetota; Actinomycetes; Kitasatosporales; Streptomycetaceae
Source: RNAcentral